GGGUUGGGCUCAGGAGGACCCAGGCGUUGGGUUGGGCCAGGUAGGACCUUGGUGUCUGGGUCAGGUUGGAGAGGACCCAGGCAUCCGGCUUGGCCUAAGAUGGACCUAGGUGGGCUGGGGAGCACCCAGGUGUCUGGGUUGGGCUCGAGAGGACCCAGGCAUCCGGGUGGCCUCUCUCCCCCUGCAGACUCGACCGCCACCAUCUUGUGGAAAACCUUCCUGGGCCUCGGCGUGGGGCUGGGCUCCCUCCUGCUGCUGGGCACCCUCGGGUGCUGCCUGCACCGCCGGUGAGCCCCGGGGCCCAGGCGUCCGGGAGGGACCCAAGCGUCUAGGGAGAGCCAGGUGUCCACCCAGGUGUCUGGGGUGGACCCAGGUGUCCUGGAGGGACCUAGGCCUCCAGGAAGGCCCAGGUGUCCGGGAGGGACCCAAGCNNNNNNNNNNNNNNNNNNNNGGGGGCGGCGUGGGGGGAGCCGGUCGUGGAGCCAUCAGGGACCUUCUUCCUCCGCAAUAAGAAGCCCCGGACAGCUGGGUCCCCGGAGGGUCCCACCGAUGCCACCCUGAGUUACUCAUCGCUGCUCUUCCCCUCUGGCUGCUCGUCGGGGACCGGGGCCAGGUUGCGAGGGGACACCGUGGUCUACAGUGUCCUCAAGAGGAGCCAGGGGGGUGCCAAGGCCACUGAGGGGCCCGACUACGAGAACGUCCAUCCCGGCCAGAGCGAUGGGGACGGGAACCGGGAAGGGACCCUGCUCUACGCUGCCCUGGCCCUGUCCUCGCCGGGGACGCCACAGGGACGCUGCGUGGACACCAGGGAGGCCGAGGACACCGUGGAGUACGCGGCCCUGCGAGACAGGGGGAUAACGGGGACCCGGCCACCGCGAGGACACGGGGGGGGGGAUGGUGACACCGGGCCCAUAAGGACACACAAGGACAUGGGGAUGCCGGGCCACAGGGACAUAGUGGGGGAAGAGGGUCAUCAGGAUUUGGCCACCAUGGAGCGGGGAUAAGGGGACAGAUUGGGGGGGGGCACGGCCACGGGGACAUGGGGACACCAUGGGACCACAGGAGGAUGGUGACACCGGGGGCGGGUGAGCAUGACCACCAGGACCCUGCCAUCACCAGGACCUGGGACAUUAGGAUAUGGGGACAAGGCCGCUAUGGGGACACAGGGAGGUGGUGACAUGGGGACAUGGCCACCUUGGGGACCAGGGGACAAGGAUUUGGGGACAAGGGGACCAUAGGGACAUAGCCGCCAUGAGGACCUAGCGGGCAUAAGGACAUAGCUGACACGGGGACAUGGCCACCACGGGGCCAUCGGGACCCCCCCCCCCCCCCUGUGGGAACAUGCCCACCGCG
This 1353-nucleotide long non-coding RNA is filed under the name Struthio camelus australis. RNAcentral describes it as "lncRNA (ENSSCUG00000009710.1)". Lineage: Eukaryota; Metazoa; Chordata; Aves; Struthioniformes; Struthionidae. The record is from RNAcentral.